Molecule: ribosomal RNA, 267 nt
Filed under: uncultured bacterium
Lineage: Bacteria
Description: partial 16S ribosomal RNA
Rfam family: Bacterial small subunit ribosomal RNA
Source: RNAcentral
UGUCGGCGACCGGCGCACGGGUGCGUAACGCGUAUGCAACCUACCCAUUACAGGGGGAUAACACUGAGAAAUCGGUACUAAUACCCCAUAACAUCCAGGGAGGCAUCCUCUUGGGUUGAAAACUCCGGUGGUAAUGGAUGGGCAUGCGUUGUAUUAGUUAGUUGGUGGGGUAACGGCUCACCAAGACAACGAUACAUAGGGGGACUGAGAGGUUAACCCCCCACAUUGGUACUGAGACACGGACCAAACUCCUACGGGAGGCAGCAG